Molecule: ribosomal RNA, 253 nt
Filed under: uncultured bacterium
Lineage: Bacteria
Description: partial 16S ribosomal RNA
Rfam family: Bacterial small subunit ribosomal RNA
Source: RNAcentral
UACGAAGGGGGCUAGCGUUGCUCGGAAUCACUGGGCGUAGAGCGCACGUAGGCGGACUCUUAAGUCGGGGGUGAAAUCCUGGAGCUCAACUCCAGAACUGCCUUCGAUACUGGGAGUCUUGAGUUCGGGAGAGGUGAGUGGAACUGCGAGUGUAGAGGUGAAAUUCGUAGAUAUUCGCAAGAACACCAGUGGCGAAGGCGGCUCGCUGGAUCAUUGCUGACGCUGAGACGCGAAAGCGUGGGGAGCAAACAGG